CUCAAUUGUGGAUAUGCUGUAGCCGUCCUUGGACAGGCCCAUUUUGGGCAAGGCAGUGGUCAGAUCUGGGCUGAUAAAUUUAACUGUGAGGGCAGCGAGGCUGACUUAUUUAAGUGCCCCGCCUCUGAAUACGGACGAGGUGACUGCACUCAUGAGAAUGAUGCUGGUGUUAUUUGUACUGCACAGGCAGGUCGAGUCCGGUUGGCAGCGGGACCGAGUCGCUGUGAAGGCCGGGUGGAAGUUUACUACAACAGGACCUGGGGGAGAGUUCUCCACGACUCCUGGGGCCUCACAGAGGCUUCCGUGGUGUGCAGAGAGCUGGACUGUGGCUCUGCAAUGGAAGUCUCUAACUCCUCUUGAUACGGGACAGGGCACAGUGAUGUGUGUCUGACAGGCAUUCGCUGCACCGGGGACGAGUCCCAUCUGAUAAACUGCAGCCUUCCACAGCAAGUCAGCUGCAAUACCAGUAACAGUGCGGCUGUGCUGUGCUCCAAUCACACGGCCCUCAGGCUGGUUGGGGGAGGAGGUGCCUGCGCUGGGAGGGUGGAGGUUUAUCACAACAGCUCCUGGGGGACGGUCUGCGAUGACUCCUGGGACCUG
This is a long non-coding RNA of Acipenser ruthenus (sterlet), 600 nucleotides long. RefSeq lists it as uncharacterized. The transcript has 3 exons. The record is from RefSeq and is a predicted model, not a curated record. NCBI's taxonomy places the organism in Eukaryota, Metazoa, Chordata, Actinopteri, Acipenseriformes, Acipenseridae.